AUGAACGCUGGCGGCGUGCCUAAUACAUGCAAGUCGAGCGAACAGACGAGGAGCUUGCUCCUCUGACGUUAGCGGCGGACGGGUGAGUAACACGUGGAUAACCUACCUAUAAGACUGGGAUAACUUCGGGAAACCGGAGCUAAUACCGGAUAAUAUAUUGAACCGCAUGGUUCAAUAGUGAAAGACGGUUUUGCUGUCACUUAUAGAUGGAUCCGCGCCGCAUUAGCUAGUUGGUAAGGUAACGGCUUACCAAGGCAACGAUGCGUAGCCGACCUGAGAGGUUGACCGACCACCAUGGAACAAAGACGCCGUCAGGCCUCCAGCGGGGGGCGGAAGAGGGGAAUCAUCAGCAAGGGGAGAGGGCCAGACAGGGAACGGCCGGGGGGUGAAUAAAGGUCUACGAAUAAAAAAACUUUUUUAUAGGGGAAAAACAAUUGGGAAAGAAACUAUCCCCGUCUAGGGAAUACUUAAACAAAAGGCCCCGGAUACAUCCGUA
This 496-nucleotide ribosomal RNA is filed under the name uncultured bacterium. Its description in RNAcentral is "partial 16S ribosomal RNA". It matches the Rfam family "Bacterial small subunit ribosomal RNA", at positions 29 to 507 of the family's 1533-position model. The record is from RNAcentral.